RNAcentral lists this ribosomal RNA (112 nucleotides) under Caerostris darwini. The record is from RNAcentral. Lineage: Eukaryota; Metazoa; Arthropoda; Arachnida; Araneae; Araneidae.
AACGGCCAUACCACGCUGAAUAUACCGGUUCUCGUUAGAUCACCGAAGUCAAGCAUCACUGGGCGCGGUCAGUACUUGGGUGGGUGACCACCUGGGAACACCGCGUGCCGUU